GAAAAGAGAGAACUGUGUGCUACAAAAAAUGAAUGGUGGUUUGAAGUAAAUUAAAGAUCCAUAUCACACGUGCAACCAGUAAGGUGAAAAACAGGAUCUAGAUGUAACCUCAAAAUUGGGUAGGAGCUUUUCCAUAAAUCUAUUAUUUCUCACACCCAUGAUAUUCAACCUCAUCCAAUGCAUUAUUUUCAUUUAAGUGACAAUAGAACACGGUUAGCUGCUCUGCUACAGGAUUGUGUUUGGUUCAACAAGCUACCAAAAUUACAGGAUUUGGGCAAUCAGGAACAAUACAAAUGAUUCUAUAAUUUGAAACAUAUUUAAUGUCACCAAAUAACCAAAUCCUAUUCCAAUAUGUAAUGGUACCAUACCCUAGAAGCCAACUUCACAAAGUAAUAAAAUACAGUUCUGUGCAGAAGCAUACCCUUCCCCUUUCUUUUCAGACAACCCAAAAUAUAAAUUCAUAACUCUCAUAUUUGCGAGUAUAAAAAAUAAGAGUUGACACCGACUACACUUUACAUACGACCUGGCACCAGUAAUUAUAUAGUUAUAUAUGCAUUGGCAUGGCAAGAAUUGGGACUAGCACGUCCAAGAUCAAGUCCAAACAAGUUGAAGCAUAAUAAAAAGCACUAAGCUCUAAGCAGACUGGUCAGAAAGGAGGCAAGCAAGAUUGGAGGUAGCACCUAGGAGCACCUAAGUGCCACAUAAUCAUCCCGCUUAAAAUAGUUGAAAACACAGGGUAAGGUAGCUAAUGAAAACUUGAAGGAAACAUGUGAUAAGGAUAACAGAGUUCACCAAUUAAAAAUGUAUUUUGUAAAAAUAAGACAUGCAGUAGACUUCUACCUACUGCUUUACACAGCAGAUUAGGAAAAACAAGUAGUGCCUUCAGACACUACAAUAGGUAGACAAACUUCCUGAACCUAACCCCCUCACACCAACAAGAGGGUGAUUUGACAUCUUUUUCCUCUACAGUAAUAAGUUUUUUAAUGAGUAGUCAGCAAUUAGUUUUAUCGUAUCAAAUAACUUUCCAAAGCUACCUUUCCAACUUGAUGAACUAAACAUCAUCACAAACCAAGGGAAUGAAAACAAGGAAUCAUUUUCCCUACGAACUUGCUAGUACCCGGACGUCCGAUGGGAGAUGUUCCCAUCGGAUGGCACCAAUCAUCAGCCACCGACAGAUUCUCACCAGGUGCUCUAACUGCCCAUCGCAACAUGAAACCACAACAUAUGCAACAUCACAGAUGAAUAUUUGCAACAUCAAAAUUAUUCUAGACUAGCUCAUUGCAUCCAACCAAUUUCAGACAAAAAUACCACCGAAACAUCGCAUGUUUCAUGCAACAUCGAUCAAAAUAAUUCUGAUUUAUUCAACAGAUCAUAAUAAGAGUGCUCCAACACUCAAAAUGUCGCAUCGCAACAUUCAUAAAUCAAAGUUGCAACACCUCCAAACAACAGUAGAGGAGAAGCC
RNAcentral lists this long non-coding RNA (1462 nucleotides) under Setaria italica (foxtail millet). Its description in RNAcentral is "long non-coding RNA (SITA_LNC007520)". Lineage: Eukaryota; Viridiplantae; Streptophyta; Magnoliopsida; Poales; Poaceae. The record is from RNAcentral.